GACGAACGCUGGCGGCGUGCCUAAUACAUGCAAGUUGAGCGAUGAAGAUUGGUGCUUGCACCAAUUUGAAGAGCAGCGAACGGGUGAGUAACGCGUGGGGAAUCUGCCUUUGAGCGGGGGACAACAUUUGGAAACGAAUGCUAAUACCGCAUAAUAACUUUAAACAUAAGUUUUAAGUUUGAAAGAUGCAAUUGCAUCACUCAAAGAUGAUCCCGCGUUGUAUUAGCUAGUUGGUGAGGUAAAGGCUCACCAAGGCGAUGAUACAUAGCCGACCUGAGAGGGUGAUCGGCCACAUUGGGACUGAGACACGGCCCAAACUCCUACGGGAGGCAGCAGUAGGGAAUCUUCGGCCAUGGACGAAAGUCUGACCGAGCAACGCCGCGUGAGUGAAGAAGGGUUUCGGAUCGUAAAACUCUGUUGGUAGAGAAGAACGUUGGUGAGAGUGGAAAGCUCAUCAAGUGACGGUAACUACCCAGAAAGGGACGGCUAACUACGUG
This 497-nucleotide ribosomal RNA is filed under the name uncultured bacterium. RNAcentral's name for it is "partial 16S ribosomal RNA". It matches the Rfam family "Bacterial small subunit ribosomal RNA", at positions 28 to 507 of the family's 1533-position model. The record is from RNAcentral.